RNAcentral lists this ribosomal RNA (253 nucleotides) under uncultured bacterium. RNAcentral's name for it is "partial 16S ribosomal RNA". It matches the Rfam family "Bacterial small subunit ribosomal RNA", at positions 524 to 776 of the family's 1533-position model. The record is from RNAcentral.
UACGAGGGGGGCGAGCGUUGUUCGGAAUUAUUGGGCGUAAAGGGCGCGUAGGCGGCUUCUCAAGCGUGUGGUGAAAGUCCGGGGCUCAACCCCGGAUCGGCCGUGCGGACUGGGGAGCUCGAGUUCUGUAGAGGCGGGUGGAAUUCCGGGUGUAGCGGUGGAAUGCGUAGAGAUCCGGAAGAACACCGGUGGCGAAGGCGGUCUGCUGGGCAGUUGCUGACACUGAGGCGCGACAGCGUGGGGAGCAAACAGG